GCCAGACUCCUACGGGAGGCAGCAGUGGGGAAUAUUGGGCAAUGGAGGCAACUCUUACCCAGCAAUGCCGCGUGAAUGAAGAAGGUCUUCGGAUUGUAAAGUUCUUUAAUUGGGGACGAAAAAAAUGACGGUACCCAAGGAAUAAGCCCCAGCUAACUACGUGCCAGCAGCCGCGGUAAUACGGAGGAUGCGAGCGUUAUCCGGAUUUAUUGGGUUUAAAGGGUGCGUAGGCGGAAUGCCAAGUCAGCGGUAAAAUCGCGGGGCUCAACCUCGCUCCGCCGUUGAAACUGGCGUUCUUGAGUGGGCGAGAAGUAUGCGGAAUGCGUGGUGUAGCGGUGAAAUGCAUAGAUAUCACGCAGAACUCCGAUUGCGAAGGCAGCGCACCGGCGCCCUACUGACGCUCAGGCACGAAAGCGUGGGUAUCGAACAGGAUUAGAUACCCGUGUAA
Molecule: ribosomal RNA, 448 nt
Filed under: uncultured bacterium
Lineage: Bacteria
Description: bacterial SSU rRNA
Rfam family: Bacterial small subunit ribosomal RNA
Source: RNAcentral